This is a non-coding RNA of Acanthosepion pharaonis, 113 nucleotides long. NCBI's taxonomy places the organism in Eukaryota, Metazoa, Mollusca, Cephalopoda, Sepiida, Sepiidae. The record is from the annotation of a GenBank genome assembly.
UACGGUCACAUGACUUUGAAACAGUAGUUCCCGUACGAUCACCGAAAGUUGAGCAACGCCGUGCCCUGUCAGUACCUAGAUAGGUGACCGCAUGGGAAUACCAGGUGCUGUUA